UACGGAGGGUGCAAGCGUUGUCCGGAAUCACUGGGCGUAAAGGGCGCGUAGGCGGCCUUCUAAGUCAGACGUGAAAUCCCCCGGCUUAACCUGGGAACUGCGUCUGAUACUGGAGGGCUUGAGUGCGGGAGAGGGAUGUGGAAUUCCAGGUGUAGCGGUGAAAUGCGUAGAUAUCGGGAGGAACACCAGUGGCGAAGGCGGCUUCCUGGACCGGUUCUGACACUGAGGAGCGAAAGCGUGGGGAGCGAGCCGG
This 253-nucleotide ribosomal RNA is filed under the name uncultured bacterium. Its description in RNAcentral is "partial 16S ribosomal RNA". It matches the Rfam family "Bacterial small subunit ribosomal RNA", at positions 524 to 776 of the family's 1533-position model. The record is from RNAcentral.